GAUGAACGCUGGCGGUAUGCUUAACACAUGCAAGUCGAACGGACUCUUCGGAGUUAGUGGCGGACGGGUGAGUAACGCGUGAGAAUCUGGCUUUGGGUUCGGGACAACCACUGGAAACGGAGGCUAAUACCGGAUGUGCCGAGAGGUAAAAGAGAAAUUGCCUGAAGAUGAGCUCGCGUCUGAUUAGCUAGUUGGUGAGGUAAAGGCUCACCAAGGCAGCGAUCAGUAGCUGGUCUGAGUGGAUGACCAGCCACACUGGGACUGAGACACGGCCCAGACUCCUACGGGAGGCAGCAGUGGGGAAUUGUCCGAAAUGGGCGAAAGCCUGACGGAGCAAUACCGCGUGAGGGAAGAAGGCUCUUGGGUUGUAAACCUCUUUCCUUAGGGAAGAACAAAAUGACGGUACCUAAGGAAUCAGCAUCGGCUAACUCCGUG
Molecule: ribosomal RNA, 435 nt
Filed under: uncultured bacterium
Lineage: Bacteria
Description: partial 16S ribosomal RNA
Rfam family: Bacterial small subunit ribosomal RNA
Source: RNAcentral